GUAAGGAAUAUUGGUCAAUGGGCGGAAGCCUGAACCAGCCAUGCCGCGUGCAGGACGACGGCCCUACGGGUUGUAAACUGCUUUUGCCCGGGAAUAACCCCCCGCUCUUGAGCGGGGCUGAACGUACCGGGAGAAUAAGGAUCGGCUAACUCCGUGCCAGCAGCCGCGGUAAUACGGAGGAUCCGAGCGUUAUCCGGAUUUAUUGGGUUUAAAGGGUGCGUAGGCGGCCCGUUAAGUCAGGGGUGAAAUACGGCAGCUCAACUGUCGCAGUGCCCUUGAUACUGACGGGCUUGAAUACCGGUGAAGGCGGCGGAAUGAGACAAGUAGCGGUGAAAUGCAUAGAUAUGUCUCAGAACCCCGAUUGCGAAGGCAGCUGCCUAACCGGCGAUUGACGCUGAUGCACGAAAGCGUGGGGAUCGAACAGGAUUAGAAACCCGAGUAGUCC
RNAcentral lists this ribosomal RNA (445 nucleotides) under uncultured bacterium. RNAcentral's name for it is "partial 16S ribosomal RNA". It matches the Rfam family "Bacterial small subunit ribosomal RNA", at positions 354 to 796 of the family's 1533-position model. The record is from RNAcentral.